GAUGAACGCUGGCGGCGUGCCUAAUACAUGCAAGUCGAGCGAAGCGGGGACGGGUGAGUAACACGUGGAUAACCUCCUAUAAGACUGGGCUAACUUAGGGGAACCGGAGCUAAACCGUAAACUUUUAGAUGGAUCCGAGCUGCAUUAGCUGGGUUGUAAGCUACCGGCUUACCAAGGCAACGCGGCAUAGCCGACCUGAGAGGGUGAGCGGCCACACGGGGACUGAGACAAGGCCCAGACUCCUAGGGGAGGCAGCAGUAGGGAAUCUUCCGCAAUGGGCGAAAGCCUGACGGAGCAACGCCGCGUGAGUGAUGAAGGUCUUCGGAUCGUAAAACUCUGUUAUUAGGGAAGCGGUACCUAAUCAGGAAGCCACGGCUAACUACGUGCCAGCAGCCGCGGUAAUUC
This 405-nucleotide ribosomal RNA is filed under the name uncultured bacterium. RNAcentral's name for it is "partial 16S ribosomal RNA". It matches the Rfam family "Bacterial small subunit ribosomal RNA", at positions 28 to 526 of the family's 1533-position model. The record is from RNAcentral.